RNAcentral lists this ribosomal RNA (1748 nucleotides) under Salmonella enterica. RNAcentral's name for it is "partial 23S ribosomal RNA". It matches the Rfam family "Bacterial large subunit ribosomal RNA", at positions 1 to 1544 of the family's 2925-position model. Lineage: Bacteria; Pseudomonadati; Pseudomonadota; Gammaproteobacteria; Enterobacterales; Enterobacteriaceae. The record is from RNAcentral.
ACAGUGGACGCGAGCAUCUUUGUGGCUCAAGUUUUUAAGGGCACACGGUGGAUGCCUUGGCACCAGGAACCGAAGAAGGACGUAGGAAUCUGCGAUAAGCCUCGGGGAGUCGAUAACCAGACUGUGAUCCGAGGAUUUCCGAAUGGGGAAACCCGGCUGGAGGCAAGUCCAGUCACUCCCGCCUGAACACAUAGGGCGGGUAGAGGGAACGUGGGGAAGUGAAACAUCUCAGUACCCACAGGAAGAGAAAGCAACCGCGAUUCCGUGAGUAGUGGCGAGCGAAAGCGGAAGAGGCUAAACCUCAGUUGUGUGAUACCUGUCAGGGGUUGCAGCUGGGGGGUCGUGGGACUUUUCGGUCAGUGCUGACACGCUGGCAUGGAGUCAGAAAUGCGCGUUGUAGUCGAAGGGCAUUGAAAGGCCCGGCACAGAGGGUGCUACCCCCGUAGACGAAACGAUGCGCACUCCAGAGAAGUAUCCCAAGUAGCACGGGGCCCGAGAAAUCCCGUGUGAAUCUGGCGGGACCACCCGCUAAGCCUAAAUAUUCCCUGGUGACCGAUAGCGGACAAGUACCGUGAGGGAAAGGUGAAAAGUACCCCGGGAGGGGAGUGAAAUAGAUCCUGAAACCGUGUGCCUACAAUCCGUCGGAGCCUCCUUGUGGGGUGACGGCGUGCCUUUUGAAGAAUGAGCCUGCGAGUUAGUGCUCAGUGGCGAGGUUAACCCGUGUGGGGAAGCCGUAGCGAAAGCGAGUCCGAAUAGGGCGUUUUAGUCGCUGGGUCUAGACCCGAAGCGGAGUGAUCUACCCAUGGCCAGGUUGAAGCGACGGUAAGACGUCGUGGAGGACCGAACCCACUUAGGUUGAAAACUGAGGGGAUGAGCUGUGGGUAGGGGUGAAAGGCCAAUCAAACUCCGUGAUAGCUGGUUCUCCCCGAAAUGCAUUUAGGUGCAGCGUCACGUGUUUCUUACCGGAGGUAGAGCUACUGGAUAGCUGAUGGGCCUCACCAGGUUACUGACGUUAGCCAAACUCCGAAUGCCGGUAAGUGAGAGCGUGGCAGUGAGACUGCGGGGGAUAAGCUCCGUAGUCGAGAGGGAAACAGCCCAGACCACCAUCUAAGGUCCCUAAGCGUGUGCUAAGUGGGAAAGGAUGUGGAGUUGCAUUGACAACCAGGAGGUUGGCUUAGAAGCAGCCACCCUUUAAAGAGUGCGUAAUAGCUCACUGGUCAAGUGAUUCCGCGCCGACAAUGUAGCGGGGCUCAAGCACACCACCGAAGCUGUGGCAUUGACACACUGCUCGGCCAGUUUUCCUGCGGGGUUCUGGUCCAGGCGUGUUGAUGGGUAGGGGAGCGUCGUGUGGCCAGGGAAGCGGCGGAGUGAUCCAGCCGUGGAGGCCACACGAGUGAGAAUGCAGGCAUGAGUAGCGAAUGACGGGCGAGAAACCCGUCCGCCGAAUAACCAAGGGUUCCAGGGUCAAGCUAAUCUGCCCUGGGUAAGUCGGGACCUAAGGCGAGGCCGACAGGCGUAGUCGAUGGACAUCCGGUUGAUAUUCCGGAACCGGCGAAGAACCGCCCAUGACGAACCUAGUGAUGCUAAACGCCCAAAGCUGUUGUCCAAGACCUUCGGGUUGAGGGUUUCAGUGGAGCGCGUGACCCGAUCUAGUAGUAGUCAAGCGAUGGAGAGACGCAGGAAGGUAGCCUCCGCGUGGCGAUGGUAGUCCACGUCCAAGGGUGUAGGGCGAGCUGUAGGCAAAUCCG